RNAcentral lists this ribosomal RNA (480 nucleotides) under uncultured soil bacterium. RNAcentral's name for it is "bacterial SSU rRNA". It matches the Rfam family "Bacterial small subunit ribosomal RNA", at positions 26 to 517 of the family's 1533-position model. The record is from RNAcentral.
AGAUUGAACGCUGGCGGCAGGCCUAACACAUGCAAGUCGAGCGGUAGAGAGGUGCUUGCAUCUCUUGAGAGCGGCGGACGGGUGAGUAAUGCCUAGGAAUCUGCCUAGUGGUGGGGGAUAACGUUCGGAAACGGACGCUAAUACCGCAUACGUCCUACGGGAGAAAGCGGGGGGACCUUCGGGCCUCGCGCCAUUAGAUGAGCCUAGGUCGGAUUAGCUAGUUGGUGAGGUAAUGGCUCACCAAGGCGACGAUCCGUAACUGGUCUGAGAGGAUGAUCAGUCACACUGGAACUGAGACACGGUCCAGACUCCUACGGGAGGCAGCAGUGGGGAAUAUUGGACAAGUGGGCGAAAGCCUGAUCCAGCCAUGCCGCGUGUGUGAAGAAGGUCUUCGGAUUGUAAAGCACUUAAGUUGGAGAAGGUUGAACUAUACGUGCAAUUUGACGUUACGAGAUAAGCACGCUACUCGUGCAGCAGUCG